This 253-nucleotide ribosomal RNA is filed under the name uncultured bacterium. RNAcentral describes it as "partial 16S ribosomal RNA". It matches the Rfam family "Bacterial small subunit ribosomal RNA", at positions 524 to 776 of the family's 1533-position model. The record is from RNAcentral.
UACAGGGGGUGCAAGCGUUGCUCGGAAUCACUGGGCGUAAAGCGUACGCAGGCGGACCGUUAAGUCGGGUGUGAAAGCCCGGGGCUCAACCCCGGAACUGCAUUCGAUACUGGCGGUCUUGAAUACGGGAGAGGUGAGUGGAAUUCCUGGUGUAGAGGUGAAAUUCGUAGAUAUUGGGAAGAAUACCGGUGGCGAAGGCGGCCUGCUGGGCAGUGGCUGACACUGAGGCGCGACAGCGUGGGGAGCAAACAGG